This 253-nucleotide ribosomal RNA is filed under the name uncultured bacterium. RNAcentral describes it as "partial 16S ribosomal RNA". It matches the Rfam family "Bacterial small subunit ribosomal RNA", at positions 524 to 776 of the family's 1533-position model. The record is from RNAcentral.
UACGUAGGGGGCUAGCGUUGUCCGGAAUCAUUGGGCGUAAAGCGCGCGUAGGCGGCCCGGUAAGUCCGCUGUAAAAGUCAAAGGCUCAACCUUUGAAUGUCAGUGGAUACUGCCGGGCUAGAGUCCGGAAGAGGCGAGUGGAACUCCUGGUGUAGCGGUGGAAUGCGCAGAUAUCAGGAAGAACACCGACGGCGAAGGCAGGUCUCUGGGCCAUAACUGACGCUGAGAAGCGAAAGCAUGGGGAGCGAACAGG